GACGAACGCUGGCGGCGUGCCUAAUACAUGCAAGUCGAACGCUUCUUUCCUCCCGAGUGCUUGCACUCAAUUGGAAAGAGGAGUGGCGGACGGGUGAGUAACACGUGGGUAACCUACCCAUCAGAGGGGGAUAACACUUGGAACAGGUGCUAAUACCGCAUAACAGUUUAUGCCGCAUGGCAUAAGAGUGAAAGGCGCUUUCGGGUGUCGCUGAUGGAUGGACCCGCGGUGCAUUAGCUAGUUGGUGAGGUAACGGCUCACCAAGGCCACGAUGCAUAGCCGACCUGAGAGGGUGAUCGGCCACACUGGGACUGAGACACGGCCCAGACUCCUACGGGAGGCAGCAGUAGGGAAUCUUCGGCAAUGGACGAAAGUCUGACCGAGCAACGCCGCGUGAGUGAAGAAGGUUUUCGGAUCGUAAAACUCUGUUGUUAGAGAAGAACAAGGACGUUAGUAACUGAACGUCCCCUGACGGUAUCUAACCAGAAAGCCACGGCUAACUACGUG
Molecule: ribosomal RNA, 507 nt
Filed under: uncultured bacterium
Lineage: Bacteria
Description: partial 16S ribosomal RNA
Rfam family: Bacterial small subunit ribosomal RNA
Source: RNAcentral